This 445-nucleotide ribosomal RNA is filed under the name uncultured bacterium. RNAcentral's name for it is "bacterial SSU rRNA". It matches the Rfam family "Bacterial small subunit ribosomal RNA", at positions 331 to 793 of the family's 1533-position model. The record is from RNAcentral.
CCAGACUCCUACGGGAGGCAGCAGUGGGGGAUAUUGCACAAUGGGGGAAACCCUGAUGCAGCGACGCCGCGUGGGUGAAGAAGCGCCUCGGCGCGUAAAGCCCUGUCAGCAGGGAAGAAAAUGACGGUACCUGAAGAAGAAGCCCCGGCUAACUACGUGCCAGCAGCCGCGGUAAUACGUAGGGGGCAAGCGUUAUCCGGAUUUACUGGGUGUAAAGGGGGCGCAGACGGCGAUGCAAGCCAGGAGUGAAAGCCCGGGGCCCAACCCCGGGACUGCUCUGGAAACUGCGUCGCUGGAGUACGGGAGGGGCAGGCGGAAUUCCUGGUGUAGCGGUGAAAUGCGUAGAUAUCAGGAGGAACACCAGUUGCGAAGGCGGCUCUCUGGACUGUAACUGACACUGAGGCACGAAAGCGUGGGGAGCAAACAGGAUUAGAUACCCUGGUAC